UGGGGAAUAUUGGACAAUGGGGGCAACCCUGAUCCAGCAAUGCCGCGUGUGUGAAGAAGGUCUUCGGAUUGUAAAGCACUUUCGACGGGGACGAUGAUGACGGUACCCGUAGAAGAAGCCCCGGCUAACUUCGUGCCAGCAGCCGCGGUAAUACGAAGGGGGCUAGCGUUGCUCGGAAUGACUGGGCGUAAAGGGCGUGUAGGCGGUUUACACAGUCAGAUGUGAAAUCCCCGGGCUUAACCUGGGAGCUGCAUUUGAUACGUGUAGACUAGAGUGUGAGAGAGGGUUGUGGAAUUCCCAGUGUAGAGGUGAAAUUCGUAGAUAUUGGGAAGAACACCGGUGGCGAAGGCGGCAACCUGGCUCAUGACUGACGCUGAGGCGCGAAAGC
Molecule: ribosomal RNA, 388 nt
Filed under: uncultured bacterium
Lineage: Bacteria
Description: partial 16S ribosomal RNA
Rfam family: Bacterial small subunit ribosomal RNA
Source: RNAcentral